CCUGAUAGCUCAGUUGGUAAAGAAUCCACCUGCAAUGUGGGAGGCCCUGGUUCGAUUCCUGGGUCAGGA
RNAcentral lists this transfer RNA (69 nucleotides) under Bos taurus (domestic cattle). It matches the Rfam family "tRNA". Rfam says of the family: Transfer RNA (tRNA) molecules are approximately 80 nucleotides in length. Their secondary structure includes four short double-helical elements and three loops (D, anti-codon, and T loops). Further hydrogen bonds mediate the characteristic L-shaped molecular structure. tRNAs have two regions of fundamental functional importance: the anti-codon, which is responsible for specific mRNA codon recognition, and the 3' end, to which the tRNAs corresponding amino acid is attached (by aminoacyl-tRNA synthetases). tRNAs cope with the degeneracy of the genetic code in two manners: having more than one tRNA (with a specific anti-codon) for a particular amino acid; and 'wobble' base-pairing, i.e. permitting non-standard base-pairing at the 3rd anti-codon position. The record is from Rfam by way of RNAcentral. RNAcentral also lists the same sequence under 4 other names. Lineage: Eukaryota; Metazoa; Chordata; Mammalia; Artiodactyla; Bovidae.